This 463-nucleotide ribosomal RNA is filed under the name uncultured bacterium. Its description in RNAcentral is "partial 16S ribosomal RNA". It matches the Rfam family "Bacterial small subunit ribosomal RNA", at positions 28 to 507 of the family's 1533-position model. The record is from RNAcentral.
GACGAACGCUGGCGGCGUGCUUAACACAUGCAAGUCGAACGGAAAGGCCCUGCUUGCAGGGUCCUCGAGUGGCGAACGGGUGAGUAACACGUGGGUGAUCUGCCCUGCACUUCGGGAUAAGCCUGGGAAACUGGGUCUAAUACCGGAUAGGAGCCAUUUUAGUGUGAUGGUUGGAAAGUUUUUUGGUGUGGGUUGGGCUUGCGGCCCUAUAGCUUGGUGGGGGGGUAAUGGCCUUCCAAGGCGGCGACGGGUACCCGGCGUGAGAGGGUGGACGGCCACAUUGGGACUGAGAUACGGCCCAGACUCCUACGGGAGGCAGCAGUGGGGAAUAUUGCACAUUGGGCGCAAGCCUGAUGCAGCGCCGCCGCGUGGGGGAUGACGGCCUUCGGGUUGUAAACUCCUUUCGCUAGGGACGAAGCUUUUUGUGACGGUACCUAGAUAAGAAGCACCGGCUAACUACGUG